GGCUAACUCGGUGCAACGAGCGGCGGAAAUACAGAGGGUGCAAGCGUGAAUGUGAAUUACUGGGCGUAAAGCGCGCGUAGGGGGUUCAGUAAGAUGGGUGUGAAAUCCCCGGGCUUAACCUGGGAACUGCUUUCAUAACUGCUGAGCUAGAGUACGGUAGAGGGUAGUGGAAUUUCCUGUGUAGCGGUGAAAUGCGUAGAUAUAGGAAGGAACACCAGUGGCGAAGGCGACUACCUGGACUGAUACUGACACUGAGGUGCGAAAGCGUGGGGAGCAAACAGGAUUAGAUACCCCGUAGUC
RNAcentral lists this ribosomal RNA (300 nucleotides) under uncultured Pyrobaculum sp. RNAcentral's name for it is "bacterial SSU rRNA". It matches the Rfam family "Bacterial small subunit ribosomal RNA", at positions 495 to 795 of the family's 1533-position model. Lineage: Archaea; Thermoproteati; Thermoproteota; Thermoprotei; Thermoproteales; Thermoproteaceae. The record is from RNAcentral.